RNAcentral lists this long non-coding RNA (496 nucleotides) under Gossypium barbadense (sea-island cotton). RNAcentral describes it as "long non-coding RNA (GBAR_LNC014605)". Lineage: Eukaryota; Viridiplantae; Streptophyta; Magnoliopsida; Malvales; Malvaceae. The record is from RNAcentral.
UAAGACUCUACCUAACUCUAGUUUGUUUAGAAAUGAGAACAUUACAUCUCCCAGGUUUCUCUCUUUCUAGAUUAGGCAAAAUUUUCAUUAUGUAUGAACUAGAUUUAGUAAUAUAGUAGUGUUGAAGUAGGGAAUUUUCCAAAGAAACCAGUUUGAAGUUUUGGGUUUAUGAUUUUAUGAAUGAGUCCGUAAGUUUUUCGCCCGCAAUACAUUCAUGCAUUCUUUAUCAGACUAAUUUUAUCCAUCUCCUAGCAAUCUAAUAACUUGCCUAUGUGAUCAGCAAAGGUCUCCAUAUCAUCACUUACCAAGCUUUGUGUCUGCGGUACUAGAUUGAUGACAUGUUGAGGCUUAAGACAAUAGGUUUAGCUUAAUGUAAGCAAAGUUGUUUCUUUUGUUUGUUCAGUGAUAUGGAAGACUCAAUCUCCCACAUUUUGUUGCUUGGCUAUUCGAUUGUAAUGGUUGAUUGGUUGAGUGGGGUUUAUUUGUUAUCAGGAAA